UAGAGGAAGUAAAAGUCGUAACAAGGUUUCCGUAGGUGAACCUGCGGAAGGAUCAUUACUGGGUAAAAAGGCUUCUUGCCUCCAACCCCACCCUCUGUAACCGCGGCCCGGAUUCGGCGCCUGGCGGGGGACCCCUCUGUUCGCGGAGGCCUCCCGCCUGCCGGAAUCAGCCAACACUGCCCUAGAAAUUGAAGUCUGAGAAAAAUUCUAAAUUAAACAAAACUUUCAACAACGGAUCUCUUGGUUCUGGCAACGAUGAAGAACGCAGCGAAAUGCGAUAAGUAAUGUGAAUUGCAGAAUUCAGUGAAUCAUCGAAUCUUUGAACGCACAUUGCGCCCCCUGGUAUUCCGGGGGGCACACCUGUUCGAGCGCCAUUUUCACCAUCGAGCCCUGCUCGGAGUUGGGUCUCGUCCUCGCGGACGGGCCCGAAACAUGUGGGCGCCUCUGUCCGGCCCUGAGCGUAGCAAGAGAAAUCCCUCGCUCAGUGGACCGUCUGGCGGCAGCCCCGACCAUUUUUUAUAAGGUUGGCCUCGGAUCAGGUGGGGAUACCCGCUGAACUUAAGCAUAUCAAUAAGC
This 576-nucleotide ribosomal RNA is filed under the name Venturiaceae sp. 1 RB-2011. Its description in RNAcentral is "eukaryotic LSU rRNA". The stretch from base 221 to 374 matches the Rfam family "5.8S ribosomal RNA". Lineage: Eukaryota; Fungi; Ascomycota; Dothideomycetes; Venturiales; Venturiaceae. The record is from RNAcentral.